UUUACAGAAAGGAGAAACUGCGGCUGGUGACAUUUUCCAAGAUUCACUGUGACAGGCUCUCUCAUCCACAGGCUAUUCUUGAAAUGUGACUCUGGCAUUCCUCCCUCUGAGAGGCGGGGUCUGCGUUCCUUCCCCUUGAACCUGGGCAGGCCUGCGGCAGAAGAGGUGCUAGAUGGCCCCCGAGGCUCUUAGGUCGGACAGAGCAGUUUCUGCCCGGCCCUCCUGGAGUGCUGGCUCUCAGAAGCUGGUCGCCACGCUCUGUGUGCAGGCCAAAAAGCCCCAGAGAGGCCACAUGUAGGUGUCCCAGCCAACAGUCCCAGCGGAGGUCCCAGCCAACAGCCAGAUGGAAGGAAACCUUGAAGGUGACUUCAUCCUCGGCUGGCAUACGAUUGCAGCUGUACAGAGUCCUGGAGUGAGAACGGGCUUGCCUGGCUUGCUGAGCUCAGUUCACUCCAGGACCAUGACAGAUGAUAAUAAGCUGCUGUGGGGCGCCUGGGUGGCUCAGUCGGUUGAGCGUCCGACUUCGGCUCAGGUCUCGAUCUCGUGGUCCGUGAGUUUGAGCCCUGUGUCGUGCUCUGUGCUGACAGCUCAGAGCCUGGAGCCUGUUUCAGAUUCUGUGUCUCCCUCUCUCUCUGACCCUCCCCUGUUCAUGCUCUGUCUCUCCCUGUCUCAAAAAUAAACAUUAAAACAAAAAUUUAAAUAAAUAAAUAAAUAAAUAAAUAGCUGCUGUUUCAGGCCAUUAAAUUUGGGUGAUCCUAGCAGCAAGGUUUAGGUCCCGGAAGUGGGCGUGGUUGUAACAAAACCUAAAACUCGUGGCAUUGGCUUUCGCACUGAAACUUGGGCGGAACCCAGUGAUGCCUUGAGGACACUGUUAGUGAGCGUAGAGGGCGCCGAAGAAGCUUUAAAGGAACGUGUGUAGAAGUGACUGGAAGCUGGAGGAAAGAGGACCCUUGUCAUGGGGUGGGGGAAGUUUUGGCCAUGCUGUCAUCUGUGUUAGAGGAAGAGUAAGUGUGGAGGACAGGAGACGCACCCAGUGAACUCCAUGAUCAAAGUCAAGAGAUUCCAACGCAAAACAGUGAAAGGGUCACUUGGCUUCUUCUCGCCGCCCACGGAAGCCAUUUAGAUCUUUAGAAAACUUUCUAAAUGUGAGGCCAAGAAUGUGACUACAGGGGUGCCUGGUGGCUCAGCUGGCGUAGCGUCUGACUCUUGAUUUCGGCUCAGGUCAUGAUCUCGUGGUGCAUGGGAUCGAGCCCCACGUUGGACUCUGUGCUGCUGGUAAGGAGCCUGCUUGGGCUUCUCUCUCUCCCUCUCUCUUUCUGCCCCUCUCCUGCUUGUGCUUUCUUUCUUUCUUCCUUUCUCUCUCUCUCUC
Molecule: long non-coding RNA, 1369 nt
Organism: Acinonyx jubatus (cheetah)
Lineage: Eukaryota; Metazoa; Chordata; Mammalia; Carnivora; Felidae
Exons: 2
Source: RefSeq, a predicted model, not a curated record